This 440-nucleotide ribosomal RNA is filed under the name uncultured bacterium. RNAcentral describes it as "partial 16S ribosomal RNA". It matches the Rfam family "Bacterial small subunit ribosomal RNA", at positions 338 to 795 of the family's 1533-position model. The record is from RNAcentral.
CCUACGGGUGGCAGCAGUGGGGGAUAUUGCACAAUGGGGGGAACCCUGAUGCCGCGACGCCGCGUGGGUGAAGAAGCGCCUCGGCGCGUAAAGCCCUGUCAGCAGGGAAGAAAAUGACGGUACCUGACUAAGAAGCCCCGGCUAACUACGUGCCAGUAGCCGCGGUAAUACGUAGGGGGCAAGCGUUAUCCGGAUUUACUGGGUGUAAAGGGGGCGCAGACGGCGAUGCAAGCCAGGUGUGAAAGGCCGGGGCCCAACCCCGGGACUGCAUUUGGAACUGCGUGGCUGGAGUGCAGGAGGGGUAGGUGGAAUUCCUGGUGUAGCGGUGAAAUGCGUAGAGAUCAGGAGGAACACCAGUGGCGAAGGCGGCUUGCUGGACUGCAACUGACGUUGAGGCCCGAAAGCGUGGGGAGCAAACAGGAUUAGAUACCCCAGUAGUC